CACCGCGGUUAUACGAGAGGCCCAAGUUGACAGACACCGGCGUAAAGCGUGGUUAAGAAUAAAUUGAAACUAAAGCCGAACACCUCCAGAGCAGUUAUACGUAUCCGGAGACACGAAGCCCCAUCACGAAAGUGGCUUUAAUAACCCCUGACCCCACGAAAGCUAUGGCA
This 170-nucleotide ribosomal RNA is filed under the name Ariomma lurida (ariommid). Its description in RNAcentral is "partial 12S rRNA". RNAcentral also lists the same sequence under 1 other name. Lineage: Eukaryota; Metazoa; Chordata; Actinopteri; Scombriformes; Ariommatidae. The record is from RNAcentral.